This 497-nucleotide ribosomal RNA is filed under the name uncultured bacterium. RNAcentral describes it as "partial 16S ribosomal RNA". It matches the Rfam family "Bacterial small subunit ribosomal RNA", at positions 28 to 507 of the family's 1533-position model. The record is from RNAcentral.
GAUGAACGCUGGCGGCGUGCCUAAUACAUGCAAGUCGAGCGAACGGACGAGAAGCUUGCUUCUCUGAUGUUAGCGGCGGACGGGGGAGUAACACGUGGAUAACCUACCUAUAAGACUGGGAUAACUUCGGGAAACCGGAGCUAAUACCGGAUGAUAUUUUGAACCGCAUGGUUCAAAAGUGAAAGACGGUCUUGCUGUCACUUAUAGAUGGAUCCGCGCUGCAUUAGCUAGUUGGUAAGGUAACGGCUUACCAAGGCAACGAUGCAUAGCCGACCUGAGAGGGUGAUCGGCCACACUGGAACUGAGACACGGUCCAGACUCCUACGGGAGGCAGCAGUAGGGAAUCUUCCGCAAUGGGCGAAAGCCUGACGGAGCAACGCCGCGUGAGUGAUGAAGGUCUUCGGAUCGUAAAACUCUGUAAUUAGGGAAGAACAUAUGUGUAAGUAACUGUGCACAUCUUGACGGUACCUAAUCAGAAAGCCACGGCUAACUACGUG